CCAGACUCCUACGGGAGGCAGCAGUGAGGAAUAUUGGCCAAUGGCCGAGAGGCUGAACCAGCCAAGUCGCGUGAGGGAAGACGGCCCUACGGGUUGUAAACCUCUUUUGUCGGGGAGCAAAGCGAACCACGUGUGGUUCAUUGAGAGUACCCGAAGAAAAAGCAUCGGCUAACUACGUGCCAGCAGCCGCGGUAAUACGUAGGGGGCAAGCGUUAUCCGGAUUUACUGGGUGUAAAGGGAGCGUAGGUGGCAGGGCAAGUCAGAUGUGAAAACCCGGGGCUCAACCCCGGGAGUGCAUUUGAAACUGUCCAGCUGGAGUGCAGGAGAGGUAAGCGGAAUUCCUAGUGUAGCGGUGAAAUGCAUAGAUAUUAGGAGGAACACCAGUGGCGAAGGCGGCUUACUGGACUGUAACUGACGUUGAGGCUCGAAAGCGUGGGGAGCAAACAGGAUUAGAUACCCGCGUAC
RNAcentral lists this ribosomal RNA (465 nucleotides) under uncultured bacterium. RNAcentral describes it as "bacterial SSU rRNA". It matches the Rfam family "Bacterial small subunit ribosomal RNA", at positions 331 to 793 of the family's 1533-position model. The record is from RNAcentral.